Molecule: unclassified non-coding RNA, 314 nt
Filed under: Agaricostilbales sp.
Lineage: Eukaryota; Fungi; Basidiomycota; Agaricostilbomycetes; Agaricostilbales
Description: partial contains 5.8S ribosomal RNA, internal transcribed spacer 2, and large subunit ribosomal RNA
Source: RNAcentral
CGCAUCUUGCGCUCUUGGGUUAUUCCUAAGAGCAUGCUUGUUUGAGUAACAGAAAAGCUCAACCCCGCUUUCUUUAUUGGAAGUAGACUUAGGGUUAGGAUCAUGGCAGUUUUGUUGGUUCAUAUGAAACAACUCUGUCGAAAGACAAGCGGCUGAACUUGAAAUUGUGCGCUGACACUAUUGUUGUAAUACUUCGGUUUCAAUAGUUAGCACGACUUUACAAAGUAGGCCUUGUAAAACAAUUUCUUACUUUAUGUUAGAAAUAAUUUUUAUUGCUUGUUCUCAAAUCAAGUAGGACUACCCGCUGAACUUAA